AACGAACGCUGGCGGCAUGCCUAACACAUGCAAGUCGAACGAGACCUUCGGGUCUAGUGGCGCACGGGUGCGUAACGCGUGGGAACCUGCCCUUAGGUUCGGAAUAACUCCCCGAAAGGGGUGCUAAUACCGGAUAAUGUCUUCGGACCAAAGAUUUAUCGCCUUUGGAUGGGCCCGCGUUGGAUUAGCUAGUUGGUAGGGUAAAAGCCUGCCAAGGCGACGAUCCAUAGCUGGUCUGAGAGGAUGAUCAGCCACACUGGGACUGAGACACGGCCCAGACUCCUACGGGAGGCAGCAGUGGGGAAUAUUGGACAAUGGGCGAAAGCCUGAUCCAGCAAUGCCGCGUGAGUGAUGAAGGCCUUAGGGUUGUAAAGCUCUUUUACCCGGGAUGAUAAUGACAGUACCGGGAGAAUAAACUCCGGCUAACUCCGUG
This 433-nucleotide ribosomal RNA is filed under the name uncultured bacterium. RNAcentral's name for it is "partial 16S ribosomal RNA". It matches the Rfam family "Bacterial small subunit ribosomal RNA", at positions 29 to 507 of the family's 1533-position model. The record is from RNAcentral.